Non-coding RNA from Paramuricea clavata, 702 nucleotides. NCBI's taxonomy places the organism in Eukaryota, Metazoa, Cnidaria, Anthozoa, Malacalcyonacea, Plexauridae. The record is from the annotation of a GenBank genome assembly.
GCUAGCUGGACCACGUGACAAAUAUGUUAUUGUUCAUUUUUAUUUUUGGUCACGUGACGAGGAAAGGGGGUGCUUUGUGAUGAGUGAUUAGGAAAACAUAUGAGUGAGAACAUAAUAUGCCAACAAAAGAUCAUAUUUCAAAGCGCUAGAGGGCUUCUGAGAUCAAGAUGGAAAUUGAAACAUAAAGCGAACAAACAUACGAACCUAUUUUGAACGUUGGAGAUGAAAAUAUCGAAGAAAGCGAGCGUCGUGAACAGUUUAUGAUCGAGGGGACGAAGGCUUUGUUUAUACACCGCGUUUGGAUAAUUGUAUUUUUGCCGUUGUUUUAGUAUGUCAGGAUACGGUUAAACGUUUGAAGUAAUAUUGAACAGUAUGGUUGGCUCUAAUUGUGCUUUGUAUGGCUGUCCGACCAGCAGAACGCGUGAAUUUGCAAUUUUUAAAAUCCCUGUUGUUGGCGCAGCCGAUGUAGUCUGCGUAGGAGACUACAGCCGAUGGUGAACAAGAAGAGAAAUGCUCGCGAAGAAUGGCUUCGAAUUCUUUUAAAGGACUAGAGAAAAGACGGUAGAUCUUCAGAAACAAAUAAGAUUUUCCUUUGUGAGCGUCAUUUGAAGCCAUUGUAAAUUUUGCAUUUUAUGCAUGCGCUUGUGUGAUCAGAUGUAAACAAAGAGGGCAUUGUAUUUGCAUAUUUACAUAUCCCAUGUC